AAAGCAGGAAGAAAAUUGAUCUUGUUGUACAACGUAAACAGAGGCUGUCUGCUGUGAGUAUACCCUUUGGUGUGGAGUAACUUGCAAAAAUUAACCUGUGUAACCGUUGGAGACCUCCAGGAGAAGGAGGGCGGCCCUACCCCUACAAUAGUGUGGUGGGCGAGCCGUUAGAAGGUAAAUCCAAACAUCCACAACAACGAGACUUAUUUUGGUCGUAUUUUCCAUCGCCCCUAUCCCAGCCCAAGCGCAGUGGAGGACACCGGGCGCUUCCCUUGUUGUGUUGCACUUAUAGUGUGAGUUAGAGGCGAAAGGGUCCGCCGCCCCCGCGGUCUCUACAAAGGGGCGCCCCUGUCCAGGAUUCGAUCGGCCUACGGGCAGUGGAGAUAGGGCAGCGCUCGGCCCGGUGAGGUGGUGUGUGACCUUCGCCCCUCUGCUGACCUACGGAGGAAACCAUACCUACCCAGAAAGCUGUAAACAGCAGAGCCGGUGAGAAACACUCGAAGUCUCAGUAACAGUGUCUUUGUGUCCUAGCGGCCACCUGUGGAGAGAGAGAAGAACGAGAGUGAAUAAUUGAAGAACAGACCGUGAACGUGAUACCUACCCAGAAAGCUGUAAACAGCAGAGCCGGUGAGAAAUACUCGAAGUCCAAGUAACAGUGUCCUUGUGUCUUAGUGGCCGCCUGUGGAGAGAAAGGACAACGAGAGUGAACAAUUGGAGAGCAGACUGUGAACAUGAUACCUACCCAGAAAGCUGUAAACAGCAGAGCCGGUGAGAAAUACUCAAAGUCCAAGUAACAGUGUCUUUGUGUCUUAGUGGCCGCCUGCGAAGAAGAAGAACGAGAAUGAACAUGAGGAGAGUGGACUGUGUGAAGAUACAGUUGGUGGUGGAGGAGAGCCUAGAGUGGCCAUUAUUUUAAGUUCCCCGUUUUCCCUUCCCUAUAUAUCUUUUUAAGUAAAUUAAAUAAAGUACCUUUUUAAUAUUA
Molecule: long non-coding RNA, 982 nt
Organism: Paramisgurnus dabryanus
Lineage: Eukaryota; Metazoa; Chordata; Actinopteri; Cypriniformes; Cobitidae
Source: RefSeq, a predicted model, not a curated record